CGGGGCGUAGCGCAGUUUGGUAGCGCACCUGGUUUGGGACCAGGGAGUCGCAGGUUCAAAUCCUGUCGCCCCGACCA
Molecule: transfer RNA, 77 nt
Filed under: Clostridiales bacterium
Lineage: Bacteria; Bacillati; Bacillota; Clostridia; Eubacteriales
Also listed under: 1 other name
Description: tRNA-Pro
Rfam family: tRNA
About the family: Transfer RNA (tRNA) molecules are approximately 80 nucleotides in length. Their secondary structure includes four short double-helical elements and three loops (D, anti-codon, and T loops). Further hydrogen bonds mediate the characteristic L-shaped molecular structure. tRNAs have two regions of fundamental functional importance: the anti-codon, which is responsible for specific mRNA codon recognition, and the 3' end, to which the tRNAs corresponding amino acid is attached (by aminoacyl-tRNA synthetases). tRNAs cope with the degeneracy of the genetic code in two manners: having more than one tRNA (with a specific anti-codon) for a particular amino acid; and 'wobble' base-pairing, i.e. permitting non-standard base-pairing at the 3rd anti-codon position.
Source: RNAcentral